This 187-nucleotide ribosomal RNA is filed under the name uncultured bacterium. RNAcentral's name for it is "partial 16S ribosomal RNA". It matches the Rfam family "Bacterial small subunit ribosomal RNA", at positions 1314 to 1500 of the family's 1533-position model. The record is from RNAcentral.
GCCUGCGUGAAGUUGGAAUUGCUAGUAAUCGCGGAUCAGCAUGCCGCGGUGAAUACGUUCCCGGGCCUUGUACACACCGCCCGCCACACCAUGGGAGCCGGUAAUACCCGAAGUCAGUAGCCUAACCGCAAGGGGGGCGCUGCCGAAGGUAGGAUUGGCGACUGGGGUGAAGUCGUAACAAGGUAAC